GCACAGGCAAUGGUGGUGGCGGCAGCAGUAGUCUCCUCUCAGAGUCUCGUCCCUUCCAAAAACUCUAGCGCCUACCUGUCUCCUCUAUCUGCACAGGGGCAACCAGCUGGGAUUAUGGUUUUUGGGGAGAAAGGGGACGGGGAAGGAGAUAUGGUGUGCCGCCAUCGCCACUAGCCACUCGCCACGGUCCUCUUUAGUCUUGUCUUCAAUUUCUCUCGUCACUUCUAUUUUCCCCUCGGAUGAGAGCUCUCUGGAUACUCGGAUGGAUUUCUAGGGGCUCGUGGCUCAGGAAGAACAAAGGGCAAAGGAAGGAGAUGAUGCGCACAUGAGGAAAAGCUACAAGCCGCACAAGCCCCUUUUUCUUCCUUCUCCUUCUAUCAGCCUUAAUCAAUGGGAUUUAUUUGUGUAUUUCUCCACAUGCGUUUUUUCUUAUCAAUUUUCUAGAAUAUGCUGGUGCCUGUACCCAAGGACUUCCUUCAGAUUAUACAGUUGAAGAUGGUGGUCGUGCAGUGGAGGACAUGUUUCAGCAAGAAAGAUUUAUCAUGUAUGAAAGCCAAGACCAGAAUAUGAAUAUUUUGCUUGCAUCCCUUAGCUGUGUGCAAAGCCGUAAAUGCCAGCUACAACUCAAUGUGGUCUGCUAUUCAUGUAUGGAUUAACUCUUUUCCGAGGCAAAAUGCUGACUUGGUCAUGGUUAUAUCACAAACAAAUAUGACUGCUUGUAACCGUAUGUUACAUCUAAUUAUUCACUAAUCAUUGUUGAAGGUAAUUUAUUUUGAUCUGGCGAUCCAUAGCAUCCCUUGUGAUUCCACCUUAUACAUUUAUCUGAAAGCAUGAAGCAUUUGGCUUUAACUGAUCCAUUAAAUUACCUGAUGUAGCAAAAAAUAAUUAGUCCAUUUUUAUUGUUCUUUUCAUUAAUCUUUCGCAAAUUAUGUAUUACCGAUAUCGAUGGAUUUGAACACCACAUCCAUUACUUGGUACCAUGCUGUUUAUUUUCGUUCUAUCUAAAGUUAUAUUAUUGUGUUCUUUUUUUUUUGUUUUCUGUGAAUAUAUUAUGGUGUUCCGGAUACUUCUUUAUUUUCAUGGGUGAAUAAAUACAUGUAGAUUUAUACGCUCAACACCUUUUUUUCCUAGGAAUCAGUGUUGCGAAAAGAGAGUUAUGUUGGUGAAAGUUUAUAUAAGGAGCAUUGCUUGGAUAAUGAUGAGCAUACCCUUUCUUUCUAUUUCCUCGAGAUUUAUUUUGAGUCUGAUUUUUGAUGUGUGUGGUUAGCAAGAAUUUGUUCUAGAAAUCAAGCAGUCCCAAAAUCACAUGUCUAACAAUGUAAAGAGGUUGUGAAUUAACCACCAGUUCCAGAUCCUUUUGAAAAGUAUCUUCCUGCUAAAUGAUGCAUAGAUUUAUUUGUAAUUACCCAGUAAAUGUAGCUGAGAUACCAUUUUUGUUAGUCUGAAAAUGAAGAUGGCAAAUUGUUAUUCUUCUAUUUGCUAGAUCCUUACCUUCCAAUUGAGAUUUCCAGUUACCUUUGGGGAUAGGAUGAUGUGAUGAGAAUUCUUCAGAUACUUUUGAGCAAAAAUGGCUGGACAUUUUGUGGUGUGGCAUUUGGAUAGCAAAGGUCUCCAGUCCGUUAAACAAGUCUACAAGCUUCAGGUUUAGUUGGACAAUCAAUUCCAUGGGAUGGAUGUGGGAAGUAGCUCAAUCAGUCCGGGAAACAUUGGAAGCUGUAGUGACAACUUCUGCUGCCUCAUUUGAGUUUUGUCUUGUCCUUCCAAAAUCAAGGUGUUUGCUCAGGGAGUAGACAACAAUUCUCUGGCUCUGCAUGUAAACCUGAAAGUAAGAGGGAAUAGUCAUGGAGGAUAUGAAGUGACUUGUUUGUGGACGGGAAGAUGAAGAUGGGAUCACCUUUUUUAUCUAAUGCAAAUUGAUUAAAGCAAUAUGACGAGGCCUCUAUUUGGAUUGAUGUAGAUCUGUGCUGGCAAAGAUGCAAUCGAUUAGGGCUACUGUGAACUAAUUUGGAAAUUUCCAGAACUGAAACGUUUUCAGAUCCUUGCUGGUGGUACAUGUGGAAUAACAUAAACAAAAUGCAAGGGGAUGAUCGAUGCACCACUGCCAGCGCAUGAGGUGAUGCAUAAAAUGGUGCUAUACAAUCGGAGUACCUAGAAAUUUUCAAGAAGGAAGAAAGGCAAGGAGAAGAAUGAUGAGUGAAAGCCUCGUCUGAAGGAUAUUGACAUUUUAACAUAAAUGGCUCUUAAAUUCACAGGGAUGCCUUGGCCAGUUGGGGUGUUAUCACCACAGAUAAGGGGAGGUCCUAGCUCCUCUACCGGGAAUGAAAGAUCACGUCCAUGAUGCCAUCUGAGCAGAACUGUGUGUGAUUUGGGUUGGCUACUCAACUUGGCGGGAUCAAAGUCUGUUUGGAAAUAGAUUUGCAUCUCAAUGCCAUGGAAUCGCUGACUCCUCCACAUAUGCGAGUAUAUUGGAAGAUGUUAAGGUGCAACUCAAAACUUGGUUCUCUAGGUGAGAUAUCAACCAAUGCAGAAGAGAAGCAAACAUUCAUGAGGUCAGGUAAGUUUGUAGAUUGUUUUCUCUUAAUGACUUUCUAUCGUGGGAGUUUCAUAUACUGGCGGAGGUUGCCAAUUGUAAGGGACGAAAUGCACAAUCUGCUAUCAUAAUAAAGAGGAUUCUUCCCCUCGAAACUGCAAAUGAUAUGCCAUCGUUGUAAAAGAAAGUUAUAAAAAACAUAUGAUAAACUGCCACUUUGCUUUUGAGUCCAAUGUAUUUGUUCGGAUCCCGCUUACAUCGAUAUAUAUUUAGACAAUUUUUGUUGUCAGUACUUCCCUGCAUAUGUGUUUACUGCUUCAUGCAUGCACUUCUAUGCUUCAGUUUAUGUAGUACUCUAGAAGUAGUUUUGUUCUUUCUACAAGAUGUAGAGUGCAUUUCUCACAUAUUAUUAUGUUAAUUCAGUUGUAAAUUUCUCAAAUAUUUCUACUAUUUAUCUUUUUAAGAUGGAUGGGCGCGGCGCCCACUUUUAUGAUCUAGUUUGUAAAAAUAAUCGGAGUUUUAGGAGAAGCCGAGAGAAAGGCCAUCGAGGCAGUUGGUCUUGGAUGCCUCCUACGCAUUCCUUCUGUCAAAAUCCGUUGAAACUUAUGCAGAUGGAUCGCAGAGCGGUACAAAUCCGAACUAGAUGCAUUUUUUAUUGGUAGGGAUGAUAUGGCUCAGUUGACCUUACCAGAGGUCGAACACUUACUUAGUCUUCCUGCACGGGGAAGAGCAACUCUGGUACAGAUGUUCCAUGAGAUGAAGCAAAAGAAAAAGCGGCGAAUAACUUUCCCCGAAUUGGAGUAGACAAUUAGAAAAGGAAUUAGUACAUUAAGUGAUGAGCUGCCUUUCCUUCAUGCAUUUAUUUUGUACACAAUCAGGUGUAUUCUAUACCCAAUGUUACGUCAGUGCAGACUAUAUGCCAUAUGUGGUUAUCAGGGAAGCAAUCUUGGAGAUAGUUAUCACUUGAUCAUCUAGUCUGUAAAGCAGUUAUAAUGCAGCACUUAAAGAUCCCGAAAGAGGCCUUCAGGGGAUUGUAAACGUCGAAGGGAAUCUUCCGCUGUUGCAGUUUUGGUUUUCGGAGAAAUUUCAUGUGGACAGACUUGAUGCUUCAAUCAACUACACAGGACGUGAGGCACCGCGCCUCCAAUAUUGAGAUGAGAAAAGGCUCUUAAGGUCUGCUCCAUUUUAAAUGAGCACGGUCGUGACGUUGGAGAGUACGUAUUUGAUCUAAAGGAGGUUUGGGAGCCUCCUAGGGCGUCAUCAACCAUUACCUUCUUUUGACCACUUCCUGCCAAUAUAUUCGAAGUUGGUGCUAAAGCUGCACGAGUCGUUCGUCAACAUGAGACGUGAUGUAAUUCAAGAUAAUCUACUGACUGGCAGAUCGACAAGCAUGGGGAUUAUCUUUUUUGAUUUGAACAGAAGCAAGAUGCCUUUUGUCAGCAACGAGCCAACGACUACGACGACUUUGAGCGUGGACUAGCGACGUAUGAGUCCAGAUAAUACAAGGACUUUAGCACGGAUUGAACCAAGAGUUCGAGAAAGAAGAUCAGGAUAUACGAUGAAACGACAGUACCACAGAAAAGGAAACAAAGGAAAAGGACAUCGACAUGUAAGGAUAGUGACUCCGUGUACUUUGAAGGUUGUAAGCCACCUAGAAAACCAAAAAAUACUCCAAAUACUAAUACUACAAAAUCAUAUAGUAGUACUCCAGUUGAAGAUGUGAAAGGUGAGGUCAUUGACUAUAUCAAUGCAUUACAGCAAAACAAAAUAUUUGUGCACAUAGAUGAUUUGACGCUGAAUAAAGAGGAACUCAGCUGUCUAACAACUCCCGCAAUUCACACAUGUACAGAAGAAGGAUGGUUGCACACCCUGUAAGUGCUUAAUUAUGUAAGUGCUUAAUUAUGAAAGUCAGUUUCUAUUUUACGUCAUGAAUGCUAACUUGUUCUUGUGGUGUCAUUCAACUCAGGGAUACAAUCAUAACAUGGAUGUGUCACAUGUGCCCAAUCCAGAUAUAAGGGCAGGUCGCACCGUCUACAUGAAGAGAGCAUCCAGAGUGGACUUACUAGUUAGAGAUGAGGAGUGAUGCAUAUAACAUGGAUGUACGAAACACGAAUCAUGGUAACCUACAUUUUCCAUGACAUGGUGAGUCUCAUUGUGUCAAGUUCUAUACAUUGCUAAUUAUGUUUCUGCCACAGAUUUGUCUAAUAGUGAACUAUGACAAUAUACACUCGUAUGUGGUUAAUGUGGAUCCCGAAGAAAGACUAAUACACGUUUUGGACUCCAUGCGAUAAAGAAACAAAAAACUUCAAAAAAGCCACCCAGAACUAGCAAAGAUGGUAAGUCCAUUCAACCGUUGCUAUAAACAAUUGUGCUAAGCUAAAUAAUAUUAUAUUUUCAUACUUACAACUCAAAGGAAUGGAAGCAUAUCUAGACGUAACAUCUCAACAUGACUGCGGAAAGAGUGAUAUCUGGCCUGAUUACGCCGUUAAUAGUUGGCCAGUUCAAGUUGUAAAGAAUGUGCCACAACAAAAAGACAGGUAUAUUGCAUCAUAUUUUAACCACACCUUUACAAUUUCUAGCUUCCUACUAUAAAUAUUGAUUACAAUACAAUCUACAUGAUUUUUUUUGCAGAAUUCAUGUAGAUUGUCCGCAUAAAUUCUGCAAAAAAAAACCAUGUAGAUUGUAUUGUAAUCAAUAUAUACAGUAAGAAACUCAGAAUUUUAAAGGUGUGGUUAAAAUAUAAUGCAAUGUACCCGUCUUUUUGUUAUGGCACAUUCUUUACAACUUAAACUGACCAACUAUUAACGGCGUAAUCAGGCCAACUAUCACUCUUUUUCGCAGUCGUGUCGAGAUGUUACAUCCAGAUGUGCUUCUAUUAUUUUGAGCUAUAAGUAUGAAAAUAUAAUAUUAAUUAGUUUAACACAAUUGUUUAUAGCAACUGUUGAAUGGACUUACCAUCUUUGCUAGUUCUAGGUGGGUUUUUUUUGAAGUUUUUUGUUUCUUUACGCAUGAAGUCCAAAACUUUUUUAGUUUCUCUUCGAAAUUCACAUUGACCAUGUACCAGUGUAUAUUGUCAUAGUUCACUGGUAGACAAAUCUGUAGCAAAACCAUAAUUAGUGUUCGAGCAUUUGAGUAAAUAACAUACAGAACUAACACAUGGAAAAUGUAAGUUUUUCCCAUGCUGAGUACCAUGAUUCUUGUUUCAUACAUCCCUUUUAUAUGCAUCACUCCUCCCAUCUCUAACUAACUAGUAAGUCCACUCUUGAUGCCCUCUGCAUGUAGACUGUGCGACCUGCACUUAUAUCUAGAUUGGGGCGCAUGUGACGCAUCCAUGUUAUGACUGUAUCCAUGAGCUGAAUGGCACCCCAAGAACAAGUUAACAUUCAUGACGUAAAAUAGAAACCAGCUAUUUUUCAUAAUUAAUCACUUACAGGGAUGUGCAACCAUCCUUCCGUAAACGUGCGAAUUGCAGGAGAUGUUAGACAGAUGAGUUCCUCUUUAUUCAUCGUCAAAUCAUCUAUGUGCACAAGUAUUUUGUUUUCCGGUGAUGCAUUGAUAUAGUCAAAUAGUUAAUAACCUCACCUUUCACUUCUUCAACUGGAGUACUACUAUAUGAUUUUGUAGUACUAGUCUUUGGAGUAUUUUUUGGUUUUCUAGGUAGCUUAGAGUAUUCGAAGUACACGAAGUCACUAUUCUUACAUGUUGAUGUCCUUUUCCUUUGUUCCCUUUUCUGUGGUACUGUCGUGUCAUCAUGUAUCCUGAUCUUAUUUCUGGGUGAGGAGAGGACGUUGUCACUUGGCCUUUUAUUUUUGAUGUUGUUCGAGUCAGUACACUCUAGGUAAGAUGUAGGAGUUCAUUAGAAAAAGUUUGUAUUUACUAUCACGAAUAGUGUAGCCAUUUACCUCGAACUCUUUGUUCAAGUCACGGACAAGCAUGAGGGAGGUUCUGUCUGCUGAAAUCCUUGUAUUAUAUGUAAUCAUACAUCACCAGUCUACGUUCAAAGUCGUCGUAGUCCUGCAUGAAUCCAUGCAUAAAUAUUAUUCCGUUGUAUAUGUAGGGGAAAAGUACUGUGGUUCAUUUCAAUAGGUUUGAGUCUUACAUUGGCUCGUUGCUGACAAAAGGCAUUUAGCUCCUGUUCAAAUUUAAAAAGAUAAUCGCCAUGCUUGUUGAU
Molecule: long non-coding RNA, 6701 nt
Organism: Lolium perenne
Lineage: Eukaryota; Viridiplantae; Streptophyta; Magnoliopsida; Poales; Poaceae
Source: RefSeq, a predicted model, not a curated record